UACGUAGGGUGCGAGCGUUGUCCGGAAUUACUGGGCGUAAAGAGCUCGUAGGUGGUUUGUCGCGUUGUCCGUGAAAACUCACAACUCAAUUGUGGGCGUGCGGGCGAUACGGGCAGACUGGAGUACUGCAGGGGAGACUGGAAUUCCUGGUGUAGCGGUGGAAUGCGCAGAUAUCAGGAGGAACACCGGUGGCGAAGGCGGGUCUCUGGGCAGUAACUGACGCUGAGGAGCGAAAGCUAGGGGAGCAAACAGG
This 253-nucleotide ribosomal RNA is filed under the name uncultured bacterium. Its description in RNAcentral is "partial 16S ribosomal RNA". It matches the Rfam family "Bacterial small subunit ribosomal RNA", at positions 524 to 776 of the family's 1533-position model. The record is from RNAcentral.